Equus caballus (horse) is the source of this 2451-nucleotide non-coding RNA. NCBI's taxonomy places the organism in Eukaryota, Metazoa, Chordata, Mammalia, Perissodactyla, Equidae. The record is from RefSeq and is a predicted model, not a curated record.
CAACCUUCCAGGGUUGCCUGUCCCUAAACAAUGGAGAGUAAAACCCAACACUCAGCUCAUGGGGCAUAUCUCAGUCCUCUAUGCCCAAAGACACCUGAAAGUGAAUCAGUUUCAAACCCUGUGUUGCAAAAGAGAACAUGACAUGAGCUAUGACGGUUCCGGGGGAUAGCAUAUCACAGAAACAGAGACAACUUGCUGUAAGAGAUAUCUACAUUUGGCCUCCAGGAGUGUAAUUUUUCCUUCUGUCUUGAGCAAACUCGUAUGAACUACAGAAUGGCAUUUUGCAAUAACUGCAGAGCUGAAUGCUGGGCUCUGGGGGAAAGAAUGAGAGUACAGAAGCUAGCAGGUCACAGAGUGCUUGGACCCUGCUUCCUGAGCAUAAUCCUGAGGAGGCGGCACAGAUCUAUAAAGGUAAUUUUUACAGAAACUCUGAGAACGCAGCAGAGUCUGGAAAUAAAAGAAAUCACAAAUAUUGUAGCACAAAUGAAGCUAAGAGGACAGGGCUGGAGCAGAAAGGGGCAUAUGGAUAUAGAGAUGACUUAACAUCACCUUGCUUAGACCAAUCGCAAGGACCAGGAAGGGAGAAGUGCACUUCAGUGGGUGUUCCUCUAGGUAGAGGAUCGGAGUCCAGAUGUCUGCCCCAGAUGUCUUGGCAUUGCUUAAUAGACGUGAACUGGGAUGCAACCCCAGGAAGGCAGGAAAACAGGAGGGCUGAAAUGACUCAGAUGAGUUUCUACCUCUUCAGUGGAAUGGGAGCUCAAAUUGUUAUUAAACUAAUUUUGUGGGCUGGAUUCAUGCUGCUGAACCAGUGUGCCCGUCGGCUGGGUCACCUUCCUGCUGGAAUGAGGCAGAGCUGGAGAGAGAAGGCAGAGAGGAUGGGCGCGGGGAAACGGAAGCGCAGCCUUUCUGCAGUACUUUUUGCUGUGCAUCGCAGUCUGCUCACAGCCAGGGUGGAGAGGAGGUGCAGGCCUGGAGGUUUGUCCUCUUGAGCAAAGCCUGAACUUUAACGGGAAUUGAGGCCGUCCCUGGAUGUCUCAAGCGAAGCUGGUAACCAAAACUGCUUUUAUUUAUGGGCAUGUCAGAAAGUUAGAAUUGAGGGGAGAGGCCUUGGUUUAUAGAGAAGAGGAAAUCCAGGGGCCCAAACAUCAGGCUGGCCGUAUUUUCAUUCACUGGUUCCAUUUAACAGCUUCUCACAACAUAUGCAGUUUAUAUUAUGGUAUCCGGCACAUGUAGACUUUGGCUGGGGUUAUCCUCCUGAGUUCAGAAUUUAUGAUCGUGCAAAUAGACAUUGAAGCAAAGAGUAGUCACACCAGAAUAACCAGAGAGAAAAGCCUUUGUUCUAUUUCUUCUGGGUCAUGUUAACUCUGUCCUCACCAAAAGAAGAACAAAGGGAUCUCUUUUUCCCCAAAAAGAGGCUGGGCAGGAAAUGAAUACUCUGAGAUUCAGCUCUGGACUUGGGGAAAUGUAGCUUCUCGUUCUUUCUCUUUCAGUUCCCUGGAGCAGAAGGCUUAAGAAGGAAGGGAGGCCACUGAGCCCUUUUUCGGCUCUAAGAAAAAUGAGGUCAUUUGAGCAAGGAAAACAGCAGACUGGUCAUUUAAUAGCAGGCCCCAGAAACCAUAUAAAUACUUCCUCAUUAGAGCAGCCCAGCAUUUUACAGCCAAACUCAAAACAGGGGCCUUUGAAGUCAAAAGGAGUCAAAUUUGAGUAAAGGCUGUGAGCAUGUCAGUUUCACUGAGGAAUGCUGUUACAAAAUGCUUUUGUGGGGUUUAUCCAGUCACUGUGAAAUUACAUUUAGUUGAUGUGAGAGUAAUUGUCGGGUGAGGAAACCUGGUUAAAGAAAGAGAAAAUUACACCAUUGCCUGGAUAUGAUGAUUUAUGUAAUUAUCUGGAUACCACUUGCAAAUUAUAAUGAAGUUCUGUAACGUUCCCUUCCAGUGUACCUACUUUUUACACUAUCAGUGCAUCUUUGUGCUCAAGAGUUUGAGGCAGCAUCAAGCACAACCCAGGGCUCCUUUUUGCAUUUUCACUAUCAGGGAAAACAGAAGAGAUGAUGGGAGAGAGCCAGCAUUUAAUGGAUCACUUACCAUUGGCCAGAUACUGUUGAAACACUUUAUUAUUAUUUCCACUUUAUAGAUGAGGGUGUUGAGGUUCUGUGAGGUUAAGUAAUUUCUCCAAGAUCACACAGCUAGAGAGAAGCUGAGCCUGCUUUAAAACCAGGUCUAUCUUCCUUUCUUCCUUCAGUCCUCGUCCUGCUCAACUCCCCCUGACUUUUGAGCUCACCACCUCUACACUGCUUUUGGUGGAGCCACCAAAAAUGUCGUUCAACUUCUUGAAUGUCUAGACUGAGCCUUUUCAUUUGGUUUCCUCAGGACUUACCAUGAUGCCGGCAUGUAAUGGGUGUUUUAUAAGCAUUUGUUGAAUAAUAAAUAAAUGUUUUAGCUUCAAAACUCA